RNAcentral lists this ribosomal RNA (369 nucleotides) under uncultured Bacillus sp. Its description in RNAcentral is "bacterial SSU rRNA". It matches the Rfam family "Bacterial small subunit ribosomal RNA", at positions 448 to 817 of the family's 1533-position model. The record is from RNAcentral. Lineage: Bacteria; Bacillati; Bacillota; Bacilli; Caryophanales; Bacillaceae.
CCGGAGUAACUGCCGGUACCUUGACGGUACCUAACCAGAAAGCCUUUGCUAACUACGUGCCACCCGCCGCGGUAAUACGUAGGUGGCAAGCGUUGUCCGGAAUUAUUGGGCGUAAAGCGCGCGCAGGUGGUCUCUUAAGUCUGAUGUGAAAGCCCCCGGCUCAACCGGGGAGGGUCAUUGGAAACUGGGAGACUUGGGUGCAGGAGAGAAGAGUGGAAUUCCACGUGUAGCGGUGAAAUGCGUAGAGAUGUGGAGGAACACCAGUGGCGAAGGCGACUCUUUGGCCUGUAACUGACACUGAGGCGCGAAAGCGUGGGGAGCAAACAGGAUUAGAUACCCUGGUAGCCCACGCCGUAAACGAUGAGUGCU